GACAGAGGGUGCAAACGUUGCUCGGAAUCACUGGGCGUAAAGGGCGUGUAGGCGGGACGGUAAGUCGGGCGUGAAAUCCCUAGGCUCAACCUAGGAACUGCACUCGAAACUACCAUUCUUGAGUGUCGGAGAGGAAAGCGGAAUUCCUGGUGUAGAGGUGAAAUUCGUAGAUAUCAGGAGGAACACCAGUGGCGAAGGCGGCUUUCUGGACGAUAACUGACGCUGAGACGCGAAAGCGUGGGGGAGCAAACAGG
Molecule: ribosomal RNA, 254 nt
Filed under: uncultured bacterium
Lineage: Bacteria
Description: partial 16S ribosomal RNA
Rfam family: Bacterial small subunit ribosomal RNA
Source: RNAcentral